GUCUUGGUAGCUCAGUUGGUAGAGCAUGAGACCCUUAAUCUCAGGGCCAUGGGUUCAAGCCCCAUGUUGGGCA
Non-coding RNA from Podarcis lilfordi (Lilford's wall lizard), 73 nucleotides. The record is from the annotation of a GenBank genome assembly. Lineage: Eukaryota; Metazoa; Chordata; Lepidosauria; Squamata; Lacertidae.